RNAcentral lists this transfer RNA (72 nucleotides) under Bos taurus (domestic cattle). It matches the Rfam family "tRNA". From Rfam's summary of the family: Transfer RNA (tRNA) molecules are approximately 80 nucleotides in length. Their secondary structure includes four short double-helical elements and three loops (D, anti-codon, and T loops). The record is from Rfam by way of RNAcentral. Lineage: Eukaryota; Metazoa; Chordata; Mammalia; Artiodactyla; Bovidae. RNAcentral also lists the same sequence under 3 other names.
UCCCUGAUGGCUCAGAUGGUAAAGAAUCUGCCUGCAGUGCAGGAAACCCAGGUUUGGCCCCUGGUCAGGAAG